This 253-nucleotide ribosomal RNA is filed under the name uncultured bacterium. RNAcentral describes it as "partial 16S ribosomal RNA". It matches the Rfam family "Bacterial small subunit ribosomal RNA", at positions 524 to 776 of the family's 1533-position model. The record is from RNAcentral.
UACAUAGGGGGCAAGCGUUAUCCGGAAUUAUUGGGUGUAAAGGGUGCGUAGACGGAGAAACAAGUUGGUUGUGAAAUCCCUCGGCUCAACCGAGGAACUGCAACCAAAACUAUUUCCCUUGAGUGUCGGAGAGGAAAGUGGAAUUCCUAGUGUAGCGGUGAAAUGCGUAGAUAUUAGGAGGAACCCCAGUGGCGAAGGCGACUUUCUGGACGAUAACUGACGUUGAGGCACGAAAGUGUGGGGAGCAAACAGG